RNAcentral lists this ribosomal RNA (326 nucleotides) under uncultured eukaryote. Its description in RNAcentral is "partial 18S ribosomal RNA". It matches the Rfam family "Eukaryotic small subunit ribosomal RNA", at positions 1470 to 1796 of the family's 1831-position model. The record is from RNAcentral.
CCCUUAGAUGUUCUGGGCCGCACACGCGCUACACUGAAGGAGGCAGCGUGUACUCCUGGAUCGAAAGAUUUGGGUAACCCGCGAAUCUCCUUCGUGCUAGGGAUUGAGGUUUGCAAUUAUCCUUCAUGAACGAGGAAUUCCCAGUAAGUGCAAGUCAUAAGCUUGCGCUGACUACGUCCCUGCCCUUGUACACACCGCCCGUCGCUACUACCGAUUGAAUGAUUUAGUGAGGACUUCGGACUGGGACCGAUGCGGCUUUCGGGCUGCGUCGGUAUUCUGGAAAGAUGUCCAAACUGUAUCAUUUAGAGGAAGUAAAAGUCGUAACA